UCUUAAAACACACCACCAAGCCGGG
This 25-nucleotide unclassified non-coding RNA is filed under the name Mus musculus (house mouse). RNAcentral's name for it is "oocyte_clustered_small_RNA13187". Lineage: Eukaryota; Metazoa; Chordata; Mammalia; Rodentia; Muridae. The record is from RNAcentral.